UUUCGGAUGGAUCUUAGAUUGACUGAGCGGCGGACGGGUGAGUAACGCGUGGAUAACCUGCCUCACACAGGGGGAUAACAGUUAGAAAUGACUGCUAAUACCGCAUAAGCGCACAGUACCGCAUGGUACAGUGUGAAAAACUCCGGUGGUGUGGGAUGGACCCGCGUCUGAUUAGCUAGUUGGCAGGGUAACGGCCUACCAAGACGACGAUCAGUAGCCGACCUGAGAGGGUGACCGGCCACAUUGGGACUGAGACACGGCCCAAACUCC
Molecule: ribosomal RNA, 270 nt
Filed under: uncultured Lachnospiraceae bacterium
Lineage: Bacteria; Bacillati; Bacillota; Clostridia; Lachnospirales; Lachnospiraceae
Description: partial 16S ribosomal RNA
Rfam family: Bacterial small subunit ribosomal RNA
Source: RNAcentral